RNAcentral lists this ribosomal RNA (996 nucleotides) under Salmonella enterica subsp. enterica serovar Typhimurium. RNAcentral describes it as "partial 23S ribosomal RNA". It matches the Rfam family "Bacterial large subunit ribosomal RNA", at positions 1918 to 2908 of the family's 2925-position model. The record is from RNAcentral. Lineage: Bacteria; Pseudomonadati; Pseudomonadota; Gammaproteobacteria; Enterobacterales; Enterobacteriaceae.
CCCCGGUAAACGGCGGCCGUAACUAUAACGGUCCUAAGGUAGCGAAAUUCCUUGUCGGGUAAGUUCCGACCUGCACGAAUGGCGUAAUGAUGGCCAGGCUGUCUCCACCCGAGACUCAGUGAAAUUGAACUCGCUGUGAAGAUGCAGUGUACCCGCGGCAAGACGGAAAGACCCCGUGAACCUUUACUAUAGCUUGACACUGAACAUUGAGCCUUGAUGUGUAGGAUAGGUGGGAGGCUUUGAAGUGUGGACGCCAGUCUGCAUGGAGCCGACCUUGAAAUACCACCCUUUAAUGUUUGAUGUUCUAACGUGGACCCGUAAUCCGGGUUGCGGACAGUGUCUGGUGGGUAGUUUGACUGGGGCGGUCUCCUCCUAAAGAGUAACGGAGGAGCACGAAGGUUGGCUAAUCCUGGUCGGACAUCAGGAGGUUAGUGCAAUGGCAUAAGCCAGCUUGACUGCGAGCGUGACGGCGCGAGCAGGUGCGAAAGCAGGUCAUAGUGAUCCGGUGGUUCUGAAUGGAAGGGCCAUCGCUCAACGGAUAAAAGGUACUCCGGGGAUAACAGGCUGAUACCGCCCAAGAGUUCAUAUCGACGGCGGUGUUUGGCACCUCGAUGUCGGCUCAUCACAUCCUGGGGCUGAAGUAGGUCCCAAGGGUAUGGCUGUUCGCCAUUUAAAGUGGUACGCGAGCUGGGUUUAGAACGUCGUGAGACAGUUCGGUCCCUAUCUGCCGUGGGCGCUGGAGAACUGAGGGGGGCUGCUCCUAGUACGAGAGGACCGGAGUGGACGCAUCACUGGUGUUCGGGUUGUCAUGCCAAUGGCACUGCCCGGUAGCUAAAUGCGGAAGAGAUAAGUGCUGAAAGCAUCUAAGCACGAAACUUGCCCCGAGAUGAGUUCUCCCUGAGACUUAGAGUCUCCUGAAGGAACGUUGAAGACGACGACGUUGAUAGGCCGGGUGUGUAAGCGCAGCGAUGCGUUGAGCUAACCGGUACUAAUGAA